Molecule: ribosomal RNA, 468 nt
Filed under: uncultured bacterium
Lineage: Bacteria
Description: partial 16S ribosomal RNA
Rfam family: Bacterial small subunit ribosomal RNA
Source: RNAcentral
GACGAACGCUGGCGGCGUGCUUAACACAUGCAAGUCGAACGGAAAGGCCCUGCUUUUGUGGGGUGCUCGAGUGGCGAACGGGUGAGUAACACGUGAGUAGCCUGCCCUUGACUUUGAGAUAACUUCAGGAAACUGGGGCUAAUACCGGAUAGGAGCUCCUGCUGCAUGGUGGGGGUUGGAAAGUUUCGGCGGUUGGGGAUGGACUCGCGGAUUAUCAGCUUGUUGGUGGGGUAGUGGCUUACCAAGGCUUUGACGGGUAGCCGGCCUGAGAGGGUGACCGGCCACAUUGGGACUGAGAUACGGCCCAGACUCCUACGGGAGGCAGCAGUGGGGAAUAUUGCACAAUGGGCGGAAGCCUGAUGCAGCAACGCCGCGUGCGGGAUGACGGCCUUCGGGUUGUAAACCGCUUUCGCCUGUGACGAAGCGUGAGUGACGGUAAUGGGUAAAGAAGCACCGGCUAACUACGUG